This 497-nucleotide ribosomal RNA is filed under the name uncultured bacterium. RNAcentral's name for it is "partial 16S ribosomal RNA". It matches the Rfam family "Bacterial small subunit ribosomal RNA", at positions 28 to 507 of the family's 1533-position model. The record is from RNAcentral.
GAUGAACGCUGGCGGCGUGCCUAAUACAUGCAAGUCGAGCGAACAGACGAGGAGCUUGCUCCUCUGACGUUAGCGGCGGACGGGUGAGUAACACGUGGAUAACCUACCUAUAAGACUGGGAUAACUUCGGGAAACCGGAGCUAAUACCGGAUAAUAUAUUGAACCGCAUGGUUCAAUAGUGAAAGACGGUUUUGCUGUCACUUAUAGAUGGAUCCGCGCCGCAUUAGCUAGUUGGUAAGGUAACGGCUUACCAAGGCAACGAUGCGUAGCCGACCUGAGAGAGUGAUCGGCCACACUGGAACUGAGACACGGUCCAGACGCCUACGGGAGGCAGCAGUAGGGAAUCUGCCGCAAUGGGCGAAAGCCUGACGGAGCAACGCCGCGUGAGUGAUGAAGGUCUUCGGAUCGUAAAACUCUGUUAUUAGGGAAGAGCAAAUGUGUAAGUAACUAUGCACGUCUUGACGGUACCUAAUCAGAAAGCCACGGCUAACUACGUG